Molecule: small RNA, 544 nt
Filed under: Pongo abelii (Sumatran orangutan)
Lineage: Eukaryota; Metazoa; Chordata; Mammalia; Primates; Hominidae
Description: processed transcript
Source: RNAcentral
GAUGUGGUACCACAGAUUGUCCCACCUACACGGCAGGCUUCAGGACUUGCUGAAGGGAGGAGUCAUAUAUCCAGCCCUUCCACAGCCCAACUUCAAAAGCUUACUUCCUUUAGCUGUCCAUUGGCACCAUACAGCCUCCAAGUCUCUGACUUGUGCUUGGCAGCAACAUGAAGAUCAUUUUGAGCUGAAAUAUGCUAAUACCGUGAUGCGCUUUGAUUAUGUCUGGCUUCGAGACCACUGCCGCUCAGCAUCGUGCUACAACUCUAAGACUCACCAGCGCAGCCUGGAUACUGCCAGUGUGGAUUUAUGUAUCAAGCCAAAGACCAUUCGUCUGGAUGAGACCACACUCUUUUUCACUUGUGAGUGGACAGGAGACUUGAUCUUCUUUGGGGGUACUCUUCUGAAGGACAGUUAUUUUGUGGAAAAUGGUUUGUUCCUUUCAAAAAUAGGUUAUUAGUUACUUUUCUUUUUUUCUUGUUUUGGAAGGAUUUUUUGAAACAUUUUAUUUUUCUCUUCAAAUAAAAUUGUUACAAUCCACAGCUAA